UUUGAUUUAUCUAAUCCUGUAUUAUUCAUUUUACAUCUCAAUUCUCAAGGUCUGCUAGAAAAUCAAUUCUGAUAUUCAAUCAUCCGUUACAAAUUAGAGGCGCAAUAGAUCUGCAAUACUUCUCAAAUUUCUCUCCAUCCCUCUGCAAAUUUCAUGCUCAAUCACCGUUACAAAACUUAGAUUAGCAAUUGAUCUGCAAAUAUUCUCAAAUCCCUCUCCAUCCGUCUGCAAUCACCGUUCUCAAAUCUCAUCUUCCGAUCAUUCUUGAAUCUCUCCAUCCAUCUGCAAAUCGUUCUCAAAUCCCAUCUCCCGCCGUCUACAAAUCCUUAUCACAACAAUUGAUAUGCUAAUCUCUAUAUACCGGGUCUCCCACCGCUGAUACAUCAAAAUUGGCAGGAUUUGGUGCUCCAUCUCCCCGCCUGAUUCCGAACUAUUUUUUUGAGGUAAACCCUAAUCAGGUGGAUCUACUCCGAUUGAGGAUUUUUAAGCGACGACGAUGGCAACUUCUAGAAGCGCAUUAGCAGCAGUUCGGCUGAGUAGAUCGGCAGCAUCAGCCUUUCGGGCAUCCGGCGCUGGUCACACUCCAUCCGCCGCCCUCCAAUCGACCCGCCCCCGAUCUCGCUGCUCCUAUCGCGCUCCCGUGCCCUAAUGUCCCCCGGUGGCAGCAACAUAUCUUUUGUCACUCUUUUCUCUGCGUCAUGCCUCAAUCGCGUAGCAUCCUGCCCUACUCUAACUCUUCUUCGCAGGUUAAAGUUGCCUUGAUUGACAUGAUGCUGGAAGCACUGGUCUUAACUUAACGUCAGCAGAAUUGAAAGUCAAAGUGUGUCUUAAUCUUCAUGGUAUUGUGUCUGUUGAAUUAGCAACGGUAAGCUCUCAGCUCUAUUGAUGAAUUUUAUUUCUUAUGCUUACUGCUGCGUAGUGGGGUUUUUUAGCAAAUUACUCGAAGACCAAGCUUAUUAAAAGUCUUCUCAUUUUUGGUGCUUUUAUUACCAAUUUAUUCGCUAUUUUUAAAAGUGAGAUGUAUCAUGUAUAUAACUGCAGUAUAACAGUCAGCUGAGGCAACAAACAUAUUAGUCGCUAUCCAUAAUCAAGCUCAGACACAGAAAACUAAGACAUUCCAUAACCAGAGUUAGAGAUAAUGCAUUCAUCCUUGAAAUAAUUUAAUGAGGCUGAGAAAUUUUCGGGACCUUUCUGCAAUUUGAGUUUCGUCAAAAACUAACAUAUAUAAGAUAGUAGAAAAGAUUAAUAACAGGUAUAUCAGAUUUUUCAUCCAAUGGAGAUGGUUUGGCCAAUAAACUGUAGGUUGUAUAAGAUAAUAACUAGAUCUUAAUUAUCACCAUAAAAGAUAGAUAUUAAGAAAAUGCCAAAUUGCUAAAAUGUUAGUUCUAUUGGUAAAAAAGAAAGUUGUCUCUGGGUGCUAGAACUUAUUUAUGUGUUUAUGGAAUUGCACUAUCGUAGCGUAAUUUGAUGAUUGUAUCAGAGUUUUAUGCAUGUAUCUAUUCUUAAGGAAAAUUCUUAUUGGUAUAUAUUUUCUCGAGCAAGACUGUAAACAUACAUGUUAUAUUUGAAUUUUAAUUUUUUAUCUACGUAUUUGUGCUUCUGCUGCUGUGUGGUGGCACUGGCUUUCUUCGUGUGGAUUAUUUCAAUUUUUUUUUUCUGUUUUGAAUUUUGGAAUUGCUGUGAGGAUUUUAUAAUAUUGCUUUCAGAUGAUGGUGAAAGGCUAUUUGUUAUUGCUAAGUAUGAUGGUGAUCCAUAUUCUGAUUGAUGAUGAGAUCCCACACACGGGAAUCGGCCUAAUAUUACUUUCUGAAGCAUUUUGGUGCAUCAAUGUUCAUUUAGAUAUACUAUAUGAUGUUUUCUAUGAUCAUGGAUGGGUGUUUCAGUGUAUUAUUUGACACAGGUUACACAUUUUGCUAUUAAUAUUGCUUCUAAUCCACUAUUAUAUGAUAUAAAUACUUGUCUAAAUAGUUUACAUGUCUUUUGCUUGGAUAGUUAUUCAUCUUAUAUUUGUUUUUGUUACUUUUAAGUUAUAUGAAAAUAAAAAGAAUAUGUGAUUUUCGGAUGUGGACAAGAAAUGGGAACAUCUGAACACAUGCUUAUCUUUUUUUAUGUUUCAAAUAAUUGGAAUAUAUUUUCUUACUUAAAUUGGGCAGCUUCUACACUACAGGCAGAAGGUUACAGGAAGUAAACGUUUUGGGUGGCCUUAUUCUUUUAUUAGCAUUAUAAUUAGAUUGUAUUAUAACUUAGGAAUGAUAAUGUGGUGUUCUAAUAAUUUGUUGGGUUAUUUAUGAAAAUGAUAUAUUGAUUAUUAUAAAAACAUUCGAUAAGUUCCAAAUGGUACCAUUGCAAGGACAUAUGAUUCACCUUUUGCUUCGCAAUCAGAAUAGUAAUGAAGUGGCUCAUAGAAUCUUGCUCAGAUGCACAAUCUUACUCAAUUUUCUAAUUUUAUGGUCAGAUAUUUGUUCCCUUGCUUUAGUAUUAAGAGAUAAUUUGAUUUCUAAGGUUUUGCCGGGAAUAGAAACAAUUGAUGUUAUGAUUUGUUCAAAAAUAAAAAUUUUCAUAAUCGCUUCAUCUUUCGUAAAAUUAUUUGAUUUCUUUUGUGGUGCUUUAUUUCUAACUUUUAUUUGAUCCCAUAUUUAAUUAAUUUAGUGAUUUGGUCCCAGAACUGAUGGCAGGGGAAGUAAUGGAAGAUUUAUUUCUUUUAGUGAUUUGAUCUCAUAUUUAAUUAAUUUAGUGAUUUAAUUAAUUUAUUUCGUUAAUUCAUGUUAGGGUGGAUGAAAGUCCUCUUUAAAAUAUUUUUUCAUUUUAGUUUGACAUGUAACGUAAACUUAUUUAAUUAUAAAGUUUUCCUUCACAAUCAGUUGUUUUCCUUCAUAAAUUUGACACUCUGAUAUCGGAUAUUAAGUUUUAGAAGUCCAAAUGUCAUUAAUAUAACAACCAAGAUCACUAUCUGAAAUGCAGUUACUACAUUUGUUUAAGUAAAGAAAUUAUGGGGUUUAGUGCUGGCGUUUGUUUCUAUCUUCCACUUUGUCAUGAUCUAUUCCAGGACUGAUCACUUCAUAUGUGAAAGUUUUUCAAUUUCUCAGUGUUGCGUUUUGUUAAUCAUUUCUUUUUCUUUUUUAAUUUUCUUAACUUAUGGUUUUGUGGGUUCAAAACUAUAAUCUACAAUACAUGAUGUAUAACCACAUAUUCUUACCUUAUGUUUUAGACUUGGUUUGCUUCAUAGUGCAUCACUUUAUCAAAACAACAGGAACUACGGCAACACCCUAAUUCGCAUAUUCAAGGUUUAAUUUACAUGUAAAGGGAGUAAUUGUUCUGGAAAUUAGAUUAAAUUGUAUUUAUUAUUGUAGUUCUUUUUGAUGAAUUAAUUAUUUAGAAAAUAUAAAAAUAAAUGUUGUUUUAAAUUUUGUGAGCAGAUUGGAGACACAAAUGAGAACCAUGAUGUACUCACCAUCAUGCUAGAUAGACACAAGUCUUUUAAAGUCAAGGUGGGAACGAGAUCUGACAAUCGGGCACAAUUUUCUAACAUUUCUCCUGAUGAGGUAAGUGUUUUUAAAAUAAAUAAAUGUGUGGAUUAUAUAUUGGUUAUUUAAUAAACAUCAAAAAAAUUAUUUGAUUUUCUUUAUGAAAUUUCGAAAAAUCGCCUCCAAAUAUAAGAGUUCUACUAAUUCCACCGAGAAAAAUGCAAUGGGCGAGGUAAAUACAAAUAUACUUUUAUUAUUUUUAUUUUUAGACUUUAUUAAAGUCAUAUUUAAAUACAAAUUGAAUGAUUUGACUGCUAAAAAAAUUCUGGCAGAUUGCUCCACCAUUGAUGAGGCAAGUUGUUAAACAAACUUUUACAUGAAUCAUAGUUAAUUUUUUUAUCUGCAGCACGAAUUAGAUGACAUGAGAUCUAUUUUGAUUAUAUGCAGGUUAUGGAAACAUUGCUGCAAAAGUUUGUUGAACUAGAGCAAACAGCUAAAGACCAAGUUGCAGACAAUGCAAUUCCUGGUAAAGAUCUGCUGGACACGAUGUGUAGCUAUGACACCAUGAUAAAAGAGUGGUUGUGUGUGGGUAGAUUUGCAAGAGCGUUGGAAGCUCUUUGGUGAUGUGGAGGCUCACGGAGUUCAUCCUUAUUCGAUCAUAUAUAAAAAAGUUCCUUACAAUUUGUAUUAUACUAUGUAAUAUGGAAGUUUUUUUUGUCAUUGUUUUUCUUAUAUUAGAACAUAAUCUUUUACCUAAAAAAAAAUGAGUAAAUGACAUAAUGUUUCUCA
This is a long non-coding RNA of Salvia miltiorrhiza (redroot sage), 4253 nucleotides long. RefSeq lists it as uncharacterized. The transcript is spliced from 3 exons. Lineage: Eukaryota; Viridiplantae; Streptophyta; Magnoliopsida; Lamiales; Lamiaceae. The record is from RefSeq and is a predicted model, not a curated record.